This 506-nucleotide ribosomal RNA is filed under the name uncultured bacterium. RNAcentral's name for it is "partial 16S ribosomal RNA". It matches the Rfam family "Bacterial small subunit ribosomal RNA", at positions 29 to 523 of the family's 1533-position model. The record is from RNAcentral.
AGUGAACGCUGGCGGUAGGCCUAACACAUGCAAGUCGAACGGCAGCACAAGAGAGCUUGCUCUCUGGGUGGCGAGUGGCGGACGGGUGAGGAAUACAUCGGAAUCUACCUUUUCGUGGGGGAUAACGUAGGGAAACUUACGCUAAUACCGCAUACGACCUACGGGUGAAAGCAGGGGACCUUCGGGCCUUGCGCGAUUGAAUGAGCCGAUGUCGGAUUAGCUAGGUGGCGGGGUAAAGGCCCACCAAGGCGACGAUCCGUAGCUGGUCUGAGAGGAUGAUCAGCCACACUGGAACUGAGACACGGUCCAGACUCCUACGGGAGGCAGCAGUGGGGAAUAUUGGACAAUGGGCGCAAGCCUGAUCCAGCCAUACCGCGUGGGUGAAGAAGGCCUUCGGGUUGUAAAGCCCUUUUGUUGGGAAAGAAAUCCAGCUGGCUAAUACCCGGUUGGGAUGACGGUACCCAAAGAAUAAGCACCGGCUAACUUCGUGCCAGCCGCCGCAGUAA